Molecule: ribosomal RNA, 429 nt
Filed under: Acidobacteriota bacterium
Lineage: Bacteria; Pseudomonadati; Acidobacteriota
Description: Acidobacteria bacterium partial 16S ribosomal RNA
Rfam family: Bacterial small subunit ribosomal RNA
Source: RNAcentral
UGGGGAAUUGUGGACAAUGGGGUAAACCCUGAUCCAGCCAUCCCGCGUGUGCGAUGAAGGCCUUCGGGUUGUAAAGCACUUUUGGCAGGAAAGAAACGUCAUGGGUUAAUACCCCGUGAAACUGACGGUACCUGCAGAAUAAGCACCGGCUAACUACGUGCCAGCAGCCGCGGUAAUACGUAGGGUGCAAGCGUUAAUCGGAAUUACUGUGCGUAAAGCGUGCGCAGGCGGUUCGGAAAGAAAGAUGUGAAAUCCCAGAGCUCAACUUUGGAACUGCAUUUUUAACUACCGGGCUAGGGUGUGUCAGAGGGAGGUGGAAUUCCGCGUGUAGCAGUGAAAUGCGUAGAUAUGCGGAGGAACACCGAUGGCGAAGGCAGCCUCCUGGGAUAACACUGACGCUCAUGCACGAAAGCGUGGGGAGCAAACAGG